RNAcentral lists this ribosomal RNA (2237 nucleotides) under human gut metagenome. RNAcentral describes it as "bacterial LSU rRNA". It matches the Rfam family "Bacterial large subunit ribosomal RNA", at positions 439 to 2550 of the family's 2925-position model. The record is from RNAcentral.
UGAAUCGGCCCCGACCGUGGGGUAAGUCUAAGCAUACCUGUCUGACCGAUAGCGUACCAGUACCGUGAGGGAAAGGUGAAAAGCACCCCGGGAGGGGAGUGAAAGAGUUCCUGAAACCGUGCGCCUACAAUCCGUCGGAGCCUCCUUGUGGGGUGACGGCGUGCCUAUCGAAAAAUGAGUCUGCGAGUCAGUGGUGCGUGGCGAGGCUAACCCGUGGUGGGGGAGCCGUAGCGAAGGCGAGUCUCAAAAGGCGUUUUGAGUCGCGCGCCCUGGACCCGAAGCGGGAUGAUCUAGCCCUGGGCAGGUUGAAGCGCGGGUAAGACCGCGUGGAGGACCGAACCCACCUGGGUUGAAAACCGGGGGGAUGACCUGGGGCUAGGGGUGAAAGGCCAAUCAAAUUCCGUGAUAGCUGGUUCUCUCCGAAAUGCAUUUAGGUGCAGCGUCGGUUGAUUGCAUCGCGGGGGUAGAGCUACUGGAUGCUUGCGGGCCCGUGUCGGGUACCAAUAGCAGCCAAACUCCGAAUACCGUGGAUGUGUAUUCCGGCAGUGAGUCGGCGGGGGAUAAGCUCCGUCGUCGAGAGGGAGACAGCCCAGAUCGUCGUCUAAGGUCCCGAAGCGUGUGCUAAGUGGGAAAGGAUGUGGAGUCGCAUAGACAGCCAGGAGGUUGGCUCAGAAGCAGCCAUCCUUGAAAGAGUGCGUAACAGCUCACUGGUCUAGUGGUUCCGCGCCGACAAUGUAGCGGGGCUCAAGCACACCACCGAAGACGCGGCAGCGGCCUUUGUGGCCGUUGGGUAGGAGAGCGUCCCGCGUGGGGCGAAGCGGCCGGGGAACCGUGCCGUGGACCGCGCGGGAGUGAGAAUGCAGACAUGAGUAGCGAGAGACGGGUGAGGAUCCCGUCCGCUGGAUGACCAAGGGUUCCGGGGCCACGUUCGUCGUCCCCGGGUGAGUCGGGUCCUAAGGCGAGGCCGACAGGCGUAGUCGAAUGGAUGAACGGGUGGAUAUUCCCGUACCGGCGGCGUACCGUAAGAGCCGAACGGAUGAGUACUAACCUCCGGUCGCGUGGCGUCGUUCCCUUCGGGGUUCGGGGCGCGUGGCUGUUGGGAGCGUAGUCCUGGUAGGCUAGCGCACAGGGGUGACACGGAAUGGGAGCCGGCCGCGGAGGUGGUUUUCCGUGGUCAAGCACGCAGCCCGUCCCAUAGGCAAAUCCGUGGGGCAUGUAGGGUGAGGUGUGAUGAUGGGCGUCCUUUGGACGCGAUAUCCGGUGGUCCAGGCCGUCGAGAAAAGCCUCGGCGCGAGGGGCGUCGCCGCCCGUACCCCAAACCGACACUGGUGGUCAGGUAGAGAAUACCAAGGCGAUCGAGCGAAUCCUGGUCAAGGAACUCGGCAAAUCACUCCCGUGCCUUCGGUAUAAGGGAGACCCCCGGGCGUGAAGAGGCUUGCCCUCGGAGCGUUGGGGGGUGGCACAGACCAGGGGGUAGCGACUGUUUACCAAAAACACAGGUGCAUGCGAAGGCGCAAGCCGCUGUAUAUGCACUGACGCCUGCCCGGUGCCGGAAGGUUAAGAGGAUCCGUCAGCCCCUUUUGGGGUGAAGCGGUGAAUUCAAGCCCCGGUAAACGGCGGUGGUAACUAUAACCAUCCUAAGGUAGCGAAAUUCCUUGUCGGGUAAGUUCCGACCUGCACGAAUGGCGUAACGACUUCCCCACUGUCUCGACCAGGAGCUCGGCGAAAUUGCAGUACGAGUAAAGAUGCUCGUUAAGCGCAGAAGGACGAAAAGACCCCGGGACCUUUACUAUACCUUGGUAUUGGCGUUAGGCGCGGAUUGUGUAGCAUAGGCGGGAGGCUUCGAAGCAUGGGCGCCAGCCCGUGUGGAGCCGCAAGGUGAAAUACCGCUCUGUUCUCGUUUGACGUCUAACCUCGAACAGUCAUCCUGUUCAGGGACAGUGCCUGGCGGGUAGUUUAACUGGGGCGGUUGCCUCCCAAAGAGUAACGGAGGCGCUCAAAGGUCCGCUCAGCCCGGUUGGCAAUCGGGUUUCGAGUGUAAUCGCACAAGCGGGCUUGACUGCGAGAACGACGGUUCGGGCAGGGACGAAAGUCGGAGAUAGUGAUCCGGUGCCGGCGCACGGGCGCGGCAUCGCUCAACGGAUAAAAGGUACCCCGGGGAUAACAGGCUGAUCAUUCCCAAGAGUCCAUAUCGACGGGAUGGUUUGGCACCUCGAUGUCGGCUCGUCGCAUCCUGG